This 1382-nucleotide long non-coding RNA is filed under the name Macaca mulatta (Rhesus monkey). Its description in RNAcentral is "lncRNA (ENSMMUG00000064243.1)". The record is from RNAcentral. Lineage: Eukaryota; Metazoa; Chordata; Mammalia; Primates; Cercopithecidae.
GUCGUUGCUUGCAUUAUUUCACAAUUAUCUUUAGAAUUGUUGUAAAGUAGAGAGCAUCGACUUUACAAAAUCGUAAACAUUUGUGGAUCCCCAAAUGGCAGAUUAUACUGCAUAACAAAGAAUGAAAGAUAAGAUCAACAUGAAUUUUCUGGAUGAGAGACUUGAGUGAAGGCUGUUAUUAGUGACAUGCUUCUAACAUGCAGGAUAUAGAAAGGGAAAAAUCGUAAUUUUAUACUGGAAAAACCUGGCAGUCAUCCUCAUAACAAAGUAAUUUAAGUUAACACCAGCAGUAAUAGGACAUAUUGAUAUCAUGUACCCUGGAUAUUGUGCAAUUUAGUGAGCAUAUAAGUUCUGUGAUUUUCAUUCCUUAAAUCCAUAACCUCAUUGUAAUCAUGAGAAAACACCAGACAAAUCCAAAUUGAUGAACAUUCUACAAAAUACCUGACCAGCAUUCUACAAAAGUUUCGAUGUCAUGAAAGACAAGGAAAGACUGAACAUGUGUUACAGUUUGGAGGAGACUAAAGAGAUAAAACAACUGGAUACAAUAUGGGAUCCUUGAUUGAAUCUUGAAACAGAUUAUUCAAAGGAUAUCAGAUAAAAAAAAACAUGAAGAAAUCUGAGUAAAGUCUGAAGGUUAGCAGUAUUAUGCCAAUGCUAAUUUCUUAGUUUUAAUAGUUGCACAUGGUUAUGUAAGUUGUUAACAUUAGAAGAAACUAGGUUAAGGGCAUAGGGGAACUCUCUGUCCUGUCUUUGCAAAAGUUAAAAAUAAAAAGGCUGCCAGGAUUAUCUAUCUUACUGGUUAAUUUUUUAAAUGUAUUUAAUUGAUUAAUCAUUCAUGAGAUUCUUGAUUCUUUCCCAGAAGACAGAAAAUUCUAUCUCCAGUGUAACUGUUAAAAAGAUAGUUCUCCUGUUCUUUAGCCCUUACGCUUCCUCAAGUCAGAAUGUACAAUCAACCCAGCAGCUAACUCAGCCAGCCUGCAUCACAAAAGACACCAGCCAACUGCCAAAGCUCUUGUACACUCCCAAAUUCGCCAUUCUAGUGUAUAAACUCUUGUGAGUGGUUUGAAUGUCUCCGUCCACUCUCCCUGAAAUCUGGAUCCUGUAAAGCUGAAAAUGCCCCAAGCCAAGAAUGAUUACCUUCGGUCUAUAUCCCUUCUACCAUUUCGCAUCUGCUUUUCUUCAUCCCUUAAUCUCCAUCUUGGCUGGGCUGAAUGCAGCUAAGUUACAUCUUGUCAUUCUUUUUCUAGUGGGAUAAUAUUUUCCUUCUUACAUAUUUUCUGAAUCAUGGUAAAAUAUACUUAAUAUAAAAUUCAGCGUUUUAACUGUUUCUAAGUUCAGAAGUAAGUAUAUUCACCUUGUUGUACAACCAACUACCAGAAAUU